This is a non-coding RNA of Lacerta agilis (Sand lizard), 76 nucleotides long. The record is from the annotation of a RefSeq genome assembly. NCBI's taxonomy places the organism in Eukaryota, Metazoa, Chordata, Lepidosauria, Squamata, Lacertidae.
GCCAAGGGAUAGCUCAGUCGGUAGAGCAUGAGACUCUCAAUCUCAAGGUCUUGGGUUCGAGUCCCAUUGUUGGGCA